Molecule: non-coding RNA, 115 nt
Organism: Triticum aestivum (bread wheat)
Lineage: Eukaryota; Viridiplantae; Streptophyta; Magnoliopsida; Poales; Poaceae
Source: Rfam
GAAGUACUCCCUCCGUUCGGAAUUACUUGUCACAAAAAUGGAUGUAUCUACAACUAGAAAACAUCUAGAUACAUUCAUUUCUUGGACGAGUAAUUCCAAACGGAGGGAGUAGUAU